Molecule: non-coding RNA, 28 nt
Filed under: Homo sapiens (human)
Lineage: Eukaryota; Metazoa; Chordata; Mammalia; Primates; Hominidae
Source: RNAcentral
UUCCCAUGUCAUGCUUUAAGACCCAGGA